This 900-nucleotide ribosomal RNA is filed under the name uncultured bacterium. Its description in RNAcentral is "bacterial SSU rRNA". It matches the Rfam family "Bacterial small subunit ribosomal RNA", at positions 8 to 916 of the family's 1533-position model. The record is from RNAcentral.
AGAGUUUGAUCAUGGCUCAGGACGAACGCUGGCGGCGUGCCUAACACAUACAAGUCGAACGGGGAUUGGCGGAAGGGUAACCGGAAGCUGAUCCUAGUGGCGGACGGGCGAGUAACGCGUGAGCAACCUACCUUGUACUGGGGGAUAACGUCGGGAAACCGGCGCUAAUACCGCAUAACACUAUGGUAUUGCAUGAUACUGUAGUCAAAGCUCCGGCGGUACGAGAUGGGCUCGCGUCCAAUUAGCUAGUUGGUGAGGUAACGGCCCACCAAGGCGACGAUUGGUAGCCGAACUGAGAGGUUGAUCGGCCGCAUUGGGACUGAGACACGGCCCAGACUCCUACGGGAGGCAGCAGUGGGGAAUAUUGCGCAAUGGGGGAAACCCUGACGCAGCGACGCCGCGUGAAGGAAGAAGGCCUUCGGGUUGUAAACUUCUUUGAUCGGGGACGAAGAUGACGGUACCCGAGGAACAAGCCACGGCUAACUACGUGCCAGCAGCCGCGGUAAUACGUAGGUGGCGAGCGUUGUCCGGAAUUACUGGGCGUAAAGGGCGCGUAGGCGGGGCGGCAAGUCAGAUGUGAAAUUCCGGGGCUUAACCCUGGCGCUGCAUCUGAAACUACUGUUCUUGAGUGCUGGAGAGGAAAGCGGAAUUCCCAGUGUAGCGGUGAAAUGCGUAGAGAUUGGGAGGAACACCAGUGGCGAAGGCGGCUUUCUGGACAGUAACUGACGCUGAGGCGCGAAAGCGUGGGGAGCAAACAGGAUUAGAUACCCUGGUAGUCCACGCUGUAAACGAUGGAUACUAGGUGUAGGAGGUAUCGACCCCUUCUGUGCCGGAGUUAACACAAUAAGUAUCCCGCCUGGGGAGUACGGCCGCAAGGUUGAAACUUAAAUGAAUUGACGG